AGAGAGGUCUUUCCAUUCAGGGUAAACUCUUUCAAGGGCCAGCUCCUUUUCAUUGCUGGAUGCCAUUUAUUAAUCCAAGCAGUUCUCCGAAAGAUAACAGGCCUGGGCAAGGUCUUUCAGCCAAACCCACGGCGGCUCCUUUUUGGUCUUCCUUUCGGCUAGAAUUAAGAAGUCACCAAAGAAAGAAAAGUCAGCAAAGAUAAAGAACACUGAGUCUGUAUGGUGUCUUUUCCCCUUGUUCUAAUUUUAGGGAGCGAAACUCUCAAAUCAGGGCUUACAACCAAGUCUUAAUGAUGAAUAUUGCUGCUGGGUUUCCUUGGAAAGCUUAGGGAAGAGCUGGUGGAUUACCAGAGACGCUUCUGUACUACUGUUCAAACCAGACCUGCUUGUUUCCUUGUGAGCAAAUCAGCUACUUCUAGCUGCAGGAAAAUAAGUCACAGAUACAGAGGAACUUCCAAUAAACACCAAGAAAUCAGAGUAAAGGAGCCAUUUGUUUAUUGGUUUUAAUAGUAAUGCUGGUUCUAGCAAAGGUAUGGAUUACCAAAGAUGCAUCCCAGAAGGUUUUGGAAGAUGGCAGAAGCCUGAAUAAGAAAUAAAGGAAGAAACAGGGAACUGAAGUAUGGGAAGAAGAAUGAGCCAUGGGGAUUGGAGUAGCCCCCGAAGAAGGCCAAUUUGUGACAAGACCAAAACGUGUUGGGCUUUUAAAGAUAAUCACGUUUGUGGACCAUCAACAGCACAUGGGACUUUGUUUCUUUUAUCCCUUUCAAUAUAAAUAAAUACCAUCAUUAUCAUGA
Molecule: long non-coding RNA, 794 nt
Organism: Sceloporus undulatus (fence lizard)
Lineage: Eukaryota; Metazoa; Chordata; Lepidosauria; Squamata; Phrynosomatidae
Exons: 3
Source: RefSeq, a predicted model, not a curated record